GCAGACGUGGGUGAGUGGUUUAAACCAAUGCACUGCUAACGCAUCGACUGUGACAGGUCCGAAAGUUCGAAUCUUUCCGUCUGCGCCA
Molecule: transfer RNA, 88 nt
Filed under: Anaeroplasmataceae bacterium
Lineage: Bacteria; Bacillati; Mycoplasmatota; Mollicutes; Anaeroplasmatales; Anaeroplasmataceae
Description: tRNA-Ser
Rfam family: tRNA
About the family: Transfer RNA (tRNA) molecules are approximately 80 nucleotides in length. Their secondary structure includes four short double-helical elements and three loops (D, anti-codon, and T loops).
Source: RNAcentral